AAGGCAUUGAACAGAAGCUGAAAUUGCAUUACAAAGUGAACUAAAUCUGUUCUACUACAUAGCACUGAACUGAAGCUGCAAAGUGGACUAUGUUGCAUUACAAAUGAACUAUAGCAGUGAAAGCGAGCUGCCGAUUGCCAAAUUCUAGUAUCCAUUCCACAUCCAUCCACAUACAUACAAAAGUAAUUACCGGAUACAUACAAAAGCAAAAUUCCAAGGACCAAAUGUUUGAUUUUAUUUGGACAAAAAGAAGACGAUAAGAAUCUAUGCCCACAUAAUUUCCAACAUUACCAAAAAACCAAAAACACCUAACUGAUAUCACAUAAUUUAUCGUGGCUGUGCAUCUUUCAAUUCGGCAGAUUUCGCUCGUUGUUGUGGUCAUGCCCUUGUCGAUCUCAAAUUGUCGGUGCACCACUUGGCUCACCCUCAAAUUGCACAUUUUCUUCGUGGUAAGUAACUUCGCUCCACUUGAAACGCUGCAACCUAUGUUUUCGUUCACAUAUCCCUUGCCGCCAUGUGUGAGCCACAAGUUAGAAAACACAUCUACAACACAAAAGGAUCACACAUUUUAAUUUAACCACAACCCAAAUGCAAAUUAGCAAAUCCAAACAGUAUAAUAUGAAAGUAAACAUCCCCCUUUCGAGGGGUUACGCAAACUAAGGCAUUAAAACUGCAUGCGGGAACUCUAAUUAGUUGAAUGUCACACAAUUCCAGGUAGUUCUGCAGUGAGGCUGCACCCGUCCCAAAACAUUUGUAAAAUCUUUAUUUUCAGUGAGGCUGAUCCUAAUGCCCAUAAGAUACUAUGAGAUCAGAAUAACUAUGUUCUUGGCUGCGUAUGAAAAUUUUUAUUUUCAGUCAAAAAAUAAAAAAUAAAAACAAAAACAAAAGAUCAGAAACAUAUGAAUGAUGAACAACAAAAUAAUCAUAAAAGCAUAAAAUCACAGAAGUGAAAUGGGUACGGCUUCAGCAAAAAAAUAAAAUAAAAUAAAAUAAAAUCUAUGUGAUUUUCAGCACGUUUCUAAACUUAUCGCACCCAAAAAAACACAAAAAGAGUUGGGAAAUUACCUUCGCGUCGUCCGUCCAUUAGCUCGUACUGUAGUGAAAUGGAUACGGCUUCUUCACGUUCGGUUGGGCUCUUUCAACAAUCAACAAAGGCAGGAAGAACCUUGGCUGAGUAAAAUUCUUUCGAGCUCAGUAGAUUUAGUGGCUUCGAUUUCGAUUGUUGGCUUUGUUUCGAUUUGGGGGAUUUAGGGCUUCGAUCUCGUAUUGGGUGGGGGAAGAUUGCAGGAGAGGGGAUGAAAUGAUUUGGGGUUCAGUGAAAGUGAAAGGCGUGAAUGAAUAUGGCAAAGACGUG
RNAcentral lists this long non-coding RNA (1354 nucleotides) under Olea europaea subsp. europaea. The record is from RNAcentral. Lineage: Eukaryota; Viridiplantae; Streptophyta; Magnoliopsida; Lamiales; Oleaceae.